Molecule: long non-coding RNA, 282 nt
Filed under: Elaeis guineensis (African oil palm)
Lineage: Eukaryota; Viridiplantae; Streptophyta; Magnoliopsida; Arecales; Arecaceae
Description: long non-coding RNA (EGUI_LNC074787)
Source: RNAcentral
UGUGUUAUUAGAUCCUUUAAUGCUAAAACUAAUUGAAGCUAGAGAUUUGCUAAAUUGACACAUGGUUGGGUAAAAACUAAUCAUACCUUCAAUCCACAAUAUAAUUUUUUUGCCAAGCAAAUUAUAUUCUCUCUCUUUUUGAUUUUUUUGCUGAAUAUCAGUGUUCUAAACUAUGGUGGAUGAGGCUGCAUAUGUGGCCGUAUAUGCACAUGCAACCCCUCAACCAGAGCACAUUGCCCAUAUAUAGUUAAAGAAUGUGGUUAUACCAUAUAUGGACUGAAA